This 498-nucleotide ribosomal RNA is filed under the name uncultured bacterium. RNAcentral describes it as "partial 16S ribosomal RNA". It matches the Rfam family "Bacterial small subunit ribosomal RNA", at positions 30 to 523 of the family's 1533-position model. The record is from RNAcentral.
AUUGAACGCUGGCGGCAUGCCUUACACAUGCAAGUCGAACGGUAACAGGUCUUCGGAUGCUGACGAGUGGCGAACGGGUGAGUAAUACAUCGGAACGUGCCUAGUAGUGGGGGAUAACUACUCGAAAGAGUGGCUAAUACCGCAUGAGAUCUACGGAUGAAAGCAGGGGAUCGCAAGACCUUGUGCUACUAGAGCGGCCGAUGGCAGAUUAGGUAGUUGGUGGGAUAAAAGCUUACCAAGCCGACGAUCUGUAGCUGGUCUGAGAGGGCGAUCAGCCACACUGGGACUGAGACACGGCCCAGACUCCUACGGGAGGCAGCAGUGGGGAAUUUUGGACAAUGGGCGCAAGCCUGAUCCAGCAAUGCCGCGUGCAGGAUGAAGGCCUUCGGGUUGUAAACUGCUUUUGUACGGAACGAAAAGCCCUGGGUUGAUACCCUGGGGUCAUGACGGUACCGUAAGAAUAAGCACCGGCUAACUACGUGCCAGCCGCCGCCGUAA